RNAcentral lists this ribosomal RNA (333 nucleotides) under uncultured Acidobacteriaceae bacterium. RNAcentral's name for it is "bacterial SSU rRNA". It matches the Rfam family "Bacterial small subunit ribosomal RNA", at positions 568 to 898 of the family's 1533-position model. The record is from RNAcentral. Lineage: Bacteria; Pseudomonadati; Acidobacteriota; Terriglobia; Terriglobales; Acidobacteriaceae.
CGCGUAGGCGGCCUGUCAAGUCAACUGUGAAAUCUCCGGGCUUAACUCGGAACGGUCAGUUGAUACUGUCAGGCUAGAGUGCAGAAGGGGCAAUCGGAAUUCUUGGUGUAGCGGUGAAAUGCGUAGAUAUCAAGAGGAACACCUGAGGUGAAGACGGGUUGCUGGGCUGACACUGACGCUGAGGCGCGGAAGCCAGGGGAGCAAACGGGAUUAGAUACCCCGGUAGUCCUGGCCCUAAACGAUGAAUACUUGGUGUCUGGAGUUAUUAUCGCUCCGGGUGCCGUCGCUAACGUUUUAAGUAUUCCGCCUGGGGAGUACGCACGCAAGUGUGAA